GAAAGAAAGAUGCCUGCCGCAGCUGAUUAGGCAGAAAUAGGGACAUCUUUUUGAGAAGGGACAGAUCUUCAACAGGUGGAGGAGUCUGAAAACUGUCUUGCUGACCCAGAUUUGCAGAAAUUGGUUUUAACUAAACAACUUGAUACAUUUACCUCACAAAAAUAGGCUCUCUAUGAAGUUUCUGGUAGCACUGCAUGUGCUACGGUUCCCUGGGUCCUGCAGGCAAGCGGCAUCAUCCUGCAAGGUGAUUAUGGAAAAAGAGAAUGAAGGAAGUAAGAACUGAAAUGAAGAAAGGAAAUGUUAAUUACAGCUUACGAUUCUGGAGGAAAAACACCUGAUCCUCUAGUAAUAAAAUGCAAGCAUCCCAUCAAGCUUCUAGGUCCCAAAGUGGAAAAGGUUUCAUCUCCACUAGGAAAAUGAUCUGUUACUGAUGGGUCAUUUUCCUCACAUAAAUGGAUCCACAGUGCAACUACAUUCAGGGAGAAUCAUCACUUCAACGGGAAUUGGAAUGAGGCCUAACAUGUAGCCUAAGUGGUACACAGGCCUUUUGUCACUCUUCUGCACCAAUCAGUGGAAUUUACCCAAGAAGUCACAUUGAUGGGGACUACUCAACAUGAGUUGCUGAAUUUGGC
Long non-coding RNA from Mauremys reevesii (Reeves's turtle), 632 nucleotides. RefSeq lists it as uncharacterized. The transcript has 5 exons. Lineage: Eukaryota; Metazoa; Chordata; Testudines; Geoemydidae. The record is from RefSeq and is a predicted model, not a curated record.